Molecule: transfer RNA, 64 nt
Filed under: Methyloglobulus morosus KoM1
Lineage: Bacteria; Pseudomonadati; Pseudomonadota; Gammaproteobacteria; Methylococcales; Methylococcaceae
Description: Methylococcaceae bacterium KoM1 tRNA
Rfam family: tRNA
About the family: Transfer RNA (tRNA) molecules are approximately 80 nucleotides in length. Their secondary structure includes four short double-helical elements and three loops (D, anti-codon, and T loops).
Source: Rfam by way of RNAcentral
GCUCAGUAGGUAGAGCACUUCCUUGGUAAGGAAGAGGUCACCGGUUCAAAUCCGGUUAUGGGCU